Lagopus muta (rock ptarmigan) is the source of this 2144-nucleotide long non-coding RNA. RefSeq lists it as uncharacterized. The transcript is spliced from 5 exons. NCBI's taxonomy places the organism in Eukaryota, Metazoa, Chordata, Aves, Galliformes, Phasianidae. The record is from RefSeq and is a predicted model, not a curated record.
CAGGCACUUGAGUGGGCAAAGUGCAGGUAGAGCCUGGGCAUUCCUGGUGAUGGUUUCUCAACUCUGUUUCCCAAGUGUACAUCAAUUUCAACCUUGAAAGUGUGAAUGGAAGAAGCUGAGUCCUGAGUGAGCUGCUGAUGAACGUGGGAACAAGCACUGCUGUCCCUCUGAGAUUGGGAAGGAAAUCACAACGCUCUACUUACUCCAAGAAUAGUAACGUGGGCAGUGGGAAGCAGUGUGUGGUGUGAGCUGUAUGCCAUGGAGGGCUGAGGCACAGAGAGGAGAAGACGUGAACCAAAAGGCUAUGCCCUGAAUAAAGUCAGAUGCUUUGGCACUAUUCAUAUUUCUGUCUGGAUGCUUUCAAGAAUGCAGUAUUUUAGUUUUAGAACAUCUGAAGGAACCCCCAGGGCCUUGGCAGCAGCACCUUCCCAGAACUCCUGGUUGAAGCAUGAGCGUGGUGGAAGGCACAGAGGUGAAAUGCAACCUUCCUGUGAGCUUCUGCUCCACACCACCUUCACUUCCAGCAAUCAGCCUGUGAUGGAGGAAUCUACAAUACCCCAGUGAUCGUCCUCCCGACUGGUAAUCCUGCAGGGAUUGCCAUGGUCAGCAUAGCUGGGAUGUUCUCUGCCUUGAGAUUUUAAUGAUGGAUUUUCAGACUGAAAGGACAAGAGCUGACUCCAUAUUAAUGCCAAACUUUAAAUGUUUUGACUAUACAACUGAAACACCAUUACCUAUUCCCCACAGAGCUCCACUCUUUCUUUCUCUCUCCUCCACUUCUCCUCUCCACACUGUAGCCUUUUGUAUGUCUCAGGCAUUAAUCCCUCGCUGCCGGGGUGUGUAAAUUAAAGAAUAAUAGAGCUGCAGAGGCAUAAGCUUGCAAUGAUGGGGAAUGUGUUUGUCUGCUAAGAAGCAAUUUCAGCGAAAAUUAACUCAAUUUCAUCUGAAAUAGUGAAGACCGGCAUAAGCUGGCAGAUCCCCGAGGAUGGUAAAAUUACUUCGUCAAAGCUCUGCUUGCUUAAAUUAACCAAGCAAGCACUCCAGGUUAUUGGCAAGAUGCAGCUAGUAACUAGGUUUUAAUAAACAAAAAUAGCUUUUUGGAUAAAUAAGGAAGGUGCAAAGUGUCUUAUGUAUUCUGUUGAUGUUUUCAUCUGUAUGACCUCGACAGCAAGACCUUCACAUUCCUGCAGGCGCAUUCUUUGAUUCCCUGUGUCCAACUGGUCUCUCUUCUGAGUCUUAGCAAACAACCUGAAAGUGCUUCUGGAGACGAUGUAAGAUUAGCUUUUAUUCCAGCAUCUAACAGACUGUUUGCAAUACCUAGGUGAGAGAACAGCAACGCCUUUUAGGGUUAUUUCUGUGUUUUUCAAAGUUGGAAGAUGACUAUUCUUGAUUUAAAUUGCUUCACCUCAAAAUAUAAUGCAGUGUCAGGACAAGAGUUAGUCUACACUGUCACUGAUACAGCAGAUUCCCCAGCUGAAUACAUUGCUGCCAAUUGGCAAGUCAGGAUGUGAGCUCCCUCCUCCUGCUAGGAGUAAAGGUCCAAGGGAAGUGAAAAUUUCAUUGUCAGAAAGAUUGAUUCAAGGAGCAGCUCAGAGAGCUUGUUAAUCACUUGAGAAUAUGCUGAAUUCUCCUUACGCUUCAGGUCUCUGCCUGCCAAGGUGUCAUCGCCUUGCUCUUUGCUCUCGGACUGCCAUGGUUCCCUCCAGCCCUUUUAGGCUUUCCUGCUUGAAGAUUAACCCUACAGUCUCAUGCUGGACAACUUAAUUCAGCUGAGGAGAAACAGCAGUACAUGACAGAUAAGAAAGUAAUUGCACCCUGAGGAAGCAUGAGGAGUGCCUGCGUCAUAUACACUUGCUUUACAAAACAGCAGCUACUUAUUCAAAGGAAGUGGCCUUUGGAAUCACAAACAGAGUACAUGGAAAAGACAUGCUUGCAGGAACCUCAUUAGAUUUCUAACAUGGCUAAGCAGGGCAGGUUCUAUCCUCGUUUUCUGCCAUUAGAGAUGGUGGAAAAACAGAUCGUGUAUCUCUUUGUUUUCCCGUGCUAAAUAUUUUGUGGCCAGAUCACAGGAGGAGGGCAGAGAGAUGGAAAAUUCAUGGUGAGAAGCCUGAGAGGAAGAGACAGGAGAGUUGGGAUUAGGCAGUUUA